This 256-nucleotide long non-coding RNA is filed under the name Physcomitrium patens. RNAcentral's name for it is "long non-coding RNA (PPAT_LNC008554)". The record is from RNAcentral. Lineage: Eukaryota; Viridiplantae; Streptophyta; Bryopsida; Funariales; Funariaceae.
ACUCAUUCUUGCGCUUUACAUUGUGUUGUUUCUCCUCUCUAUUCAACUACCUCUUAGUCUUCUCAAUUGCCAUUGUAUUCUAACACAAGCAAGUACUAACAACUAAUCUCUCAAAACACACAUAUACGGCUGCUUACACAAAAGAAAACACAAUGCUUGUCAAGAGCCCCCUUCCUACUUCUUACUAUGGUUCAAUCAAUUGGGUCGACUCCCCCUUAUAUCUCACGAUUCGUCAUGAUGAAAUACCCUACUAACU